GCCAAAUAGCUAGCUUAAACACCCAUUUAUACAACAUCAAAAAGCCCCACUCAACCCAAACCUUUCAAUUAAAACAUUUUUCCACCUUAGUAUGAGCGACAGAAAAGGUUAAAUAAAGCAAUAACAAAAGUACCGCAAGGGAAGGCUGAAAGAGAAAUGAAAUAAACCAUAUAAGCCUAAAAAAGCAGAGACUAAUACUCGUACCUUUUGCAUCAUGAUUUAGCUAGCCACCCUGAGCAAAGAGUACUUUAGUUCAAAACCCCGAAACUAAGUGAGCUACCCCGAGACAGCCUUCCAUAGGGCCAACCCAUCUCUGUGGCAAAAGAGUGGGAAGAUCUCCAGGUAGAGGUGACAGACCUACCGAACUUAGUUAUAGCUGGUUGCCUAAAAAAUGGAUAGAAGUUCAGCCUCACACUCCUCCAACCACAAAAAGUUACCACUUAAGACACGAACCAGAGUAAUAUGUGAGAGUUAAUCAGAGGGGGUACAGCCCCUCUGAAAAGGGAUACAACCCUGCCAGGAGGUUAAAGAUUAUAUUAUACAAGACUACAGCUUCAGUGGGCCUAAAAGCAGCCACCUUUACAGAAAGCGUUAAAGCUCAAGCAACCUAUAAUCUAUUAUUCAAAUAAAUACAUCUUAAACCCCUAACCAUAUUAGGCCUUUCUAUGCCAACAUAGAAGUGAUACUGCUAAAAUGAGUAAUAAGAAGAACACACUCUUCUCCCAACCCAUGUGUAAGCUAGAUCGGACUAUCCACUAGCCAUUAACGAACUCACCCCAAGAGAGUAAUAUGAUUAAAAAAAUAACCAAGAAAAAAUCACAACCAACAAAUCGUUAACCCCACACUGGAGAGCAUACAAGGAAAGACUAAAAGAAGAGGAAGGAACUCGGCAAACACAAGCCUCGCCUGUUUACCAAAAACAUCGCCUCCUGCAAAAAUCAACGUAUAGGAGGUCCUGCCUGCCCAGUGACUCUAAGUUAAACGGCCGCGGUAUUUUGACCGUGCAAAGGUAGCGCAAUCACUUGUCUUUUAAAUAAAGACCUGUAUGAAUGGUGAAACGAGGGCUUAACUGUCUCCCCCUUCUAGUCAAUGAAAUUGAUCUAUCCGUGCAGAAGCGGGUAUAACCAUACAAGACGAGAAGACCCUUUGGAGCUUAAGAUAAAAGAUCAAYUAUGUCAAAAGUUUAAAAAAAUAMUAAACCAAAUAGCASUGAUCCAAGUCUUCGGUUGGGGCGACCGCGGGAGAAAAUACAACUCCCAUGCAGACUGGGAUAUUCCCCAAAACCAAGAGAGACAUCUCUAAGGCACAGAACAUCUGASUAAAAGAUCCGGCUACAUACCGACCAACGAACCAAGUUACCCUAGGGAUAAUCACGCGCAAUCCCCUCCCAGAGUCCAUAUCGACAAGGGGGUUUACGACCUCGAUGUUGGAUCAGGAUAUCSUAAUGGUGCAGCCGCU
This 1458-nucleotide ribosomal RNA is filed under the name Lithoxus lithoides. RNAcentral describes it as "partial 16S ribosomal RNA". It matches the Rfam family "Bacterial large subunit ribosomal RNA", at positions 201 to 2563 of the family's 2925-position model. Lineage: Eukaryota; Metazoa; Chordata; Actinopteri; Siluriformes; Loricariidae. The record is from RNAcentral.